Molecule: ribosomal RNA, 466 nt
Filed under: uncultured bacterium
Lineage: Bacteria
Description: partial 16S ribosomal RNA
Rfam family: Bacterial small subunit ribosomal RNA
Source: RNAcentral
GACGAACGCUGGCGGCGUGCUUAACACAUGCAAGUCGAACGGAAAGGCCCUGCUUGCCGGGUACUCGAGUGGCGAACGGGUGAGUAACACGUGGGUGAUCUGCCCUGCACUUCGGGAUAAGCUUGGGAAACUGGGUCUAAUACCGGAUAGGAGCCAUUCUUAGUGUGAUGGUUGGAAAGUUUUUUUCGGUGUAGGAUGAGCUCGCGGCCUAUCAGCUUGUUGGUGGGGUAAUGGCCUACCAAGGCGGCGACGGGUAGCCGGCCUGAGAGGGUGGACGGCCACAUUGGGACUGAGAUACGGCCCAGACUCCGACGGGAGGCAGCAGUGGGGAAUAUUGCACAAUGGGCGCAAGCCUGAUGCAGCGACGCCGCGUGGGGGAUGACGGCCUUCGGGUUGUAAACUCCUUUCGCUAGGGACGAAGCUUUUUGUGACGGUACCUAGAUAAGAAGCACCGGCUAACUACGUG